This 1098-nucleotide unclassified non-coding RNA is filed under the name Hevea brasiliensis (rubber tree). The record is from RNAcentral. Lineage: Eukaryota; Viridiplantae; Streptophyta; Magnoliopsida; Malpighiales; Euphorbiaceae.
GACCAAUUUUGUUUGUUCACGACUAAGUUUAACAGCUGUUCUUUUUCUUCUUCUAUGGAACAGGUUGUAGUUAAUGAGUUUGCUAUCUUCAAAGAUUGUGCAGUAUCGUUUUUUGGAGCAUAAAUACAGAGAACAGGGGUAUAUUAGAAAAGUGAGUGUUUUUCCUUUUGGUGAUAUUGUGUUGGAGAAGUUUCAAGUUUUGGGUCAAUCUUGAAUUUGGUAGAUGGGUUCUUUUCCUGGGCAUGUUCUUCCUGGGACACUGUUUCUUGUGAUUGGUGUGUGGCAUAUAUGGUCUGCUCUUGUUAGAUAUUCAUCAAAUCCCAAGUCAUUUAGGGUAAGGGUUUGGAGCCCUGUUCCGGGUUUUGAUGGGAAGUUGAAAUAUUUGGAACUUUAUGUGGUAGCAAUUGGAGGUUUCAUUGAUUUCUGUAUUGAGCUCUUCUAUUCGACACACCUCAGACUUCUCGUUCAUGGGGCUUUGAAUCCUAUUCAUAUGAAUAACUUUGAGCAUGCUGGAAUGCUUCUAAUGUUCGUCAUCUUUGGUUUGAUUGUGCUUCUUUCAGAGAAAACCAGUUUUCUUCCCUUGCCUGAAGGAGCUCUCUGCUUGAUCGCUGCCACAGCAUUCUCUGCAGAGUAUUUCUUGUUCUUUUUCCACUCCACAACCCACAAAGGCCUCGAAGGGUACUAUCACCUUAUCCUUGUCCUCCUCAUUGGCCUAUGCAUAUUGAGUACUAUCGCUGGAGCUCUUAUGCCCACCAGUUUCCCUAUUGAUUUGGCUAGCGGCAUUUCUGUAGCACUCCAAGGCCUUUGGUUCUAUCAAACUGCAUUCACUCUGUAUGGUCCUAUGAUGCCAGACGGUUGCCAACUCAAAGGGAACGAUGUCAUGUGUCGUUCAGAAGAUAGCGAAGUUCGAGGGGAGUUGCUAGCAAACCUCCAACUUUUCUCCAUAAUAUUUGUUGUCCUUGCUGCCACUGCUGGAGCUUAUGGUUUUGCAGCUUCAGAGACUAGUCAUAAAGAUAUUAGGAAUUCUCAUAUGGCUCUUGAUGGUUAGGAAAAUUGAUAAUAGCAUUAGCCAUUUUUGUAACAUAUUCUUUGGUCAGG